This 305-nucleotide ribosomal RNA is filed under the name uncultured bacterium. RNAcentral's name for it is "bacterial SSU rRNA". It matches the Rfam family "Bacterial small subunit ribosomal RNA", at positions 338 to 640 of the family's 1533-position model. The record is from RNAcentral.
CCUACGGGAGGCAGCAGUGAGGAAUAUUGGUCAAUGGGCGGAAGCCUGAACCAGCCAAGUCGCGUGAGGGAAUAAGGCCCUACGGGUCGUAAACCUCUUUUGCCGGGGAGCAAGGGCCGGGACGCGUCCCGGCCCGGAGAGUACCCGGAGAAAAAGCAUCGGCUAACUCCGUGCCAGCAGCCGCGGUAAUACGGAGGAUGCGAGCGUUAUCCGGAUUUAUUGGGUUUAAAGGGUGCGUAGGCGGCAAAAUAAGUCUGAAGUAAAAGGCGUUGGCUCAACCAACGUAAGCUUUGGAAACUGUUAAG